This is a small nuclear RNA of Nycticebus coucang (slow loris), 124 nucleotides long. The record is from RefSeq and is a predicted model, not a curated record. NCBI's taxonomy places the organism in Eukaryota, Metazoa, Chordata, Mammalia, Primates, Lorisidae.
AUAUUCUAUGAAAGGAGAGAAGGUUUGCGUUCCCUUGACAAGGACAGAAGAGGCCCUCAGGUCGACAGCGUGCAUGCAGUUAAGACGUUGCCACCUACUUCAUGGCAUCUAACCACAGUUUCAG